GAUGAACGCUGGCGGCGUGCCUAAUACAUGCAAGUCGAGCGAACAGAUGAGGAGCUUGCUCCUCUGACGUUAGCGGCGGACGGGUGAGUAACACGUGGAUAACCUACCUAUAAGACUGGGAUAACUUCGGGAAACCGGAGCUAAUACCGGAUAAUAUAUUGAACCGCAUGGUUCAAUAGUGAAAGACGGUUUUGCUGUCACUUAUAGAUGGAUCCGCGCCGCAUUAGCUGGUUGGUAAGGUAACGGCUUUCCAAGGCAACGAUGCGUAGCCGACCUGUGAGGGGGAUCGGCCACACUAGAACUGGGACACGGUCCAGAGUCCUACGGGAGGCAGCAGUAGGGAAUCGGCCGCAAUGGGCGAAAGCAUGACGGAGCGACGGCGCGUGAGAGAUGAAGGUCUUCGGAUCGUAAAACUCGGUUAUGAGGGAAGAACAAAUGUGUAAGUAACUAUGCACGUCUUGACGGUACCGAGUCAGAAAGCCACGGCUAACUACGUG
Molecule: ribosomal RNA, 497 nt
Filed under: uncultured bacterium
Lineage: Bacteria
Description: partial 16S ribosomal RNA
Rfam family: Bacterial small subunit ribosomal RNA
Source: RNAcentral